GGACUGGGGCUCAGUGGUGGAGCGCUCACCUGGCAUGUGUGAGGCCCGGGUUCGAUCCUCAGCACCA
Molecule: transfer RNA, 67 nt
Filed under: Marmota monax (woodchuck)
Lineage: Eukaryota; Metazoa; Chordata; Mammalia; Rodentia; Sciuridae
Description: tRNA.Ala
Source: RNAcentral